RNAcentral lists this unclassified non-coding RNA (338 nucleotides) under soil metagenome. RNAcentral describes it as "partial contains 5.8S ribosomal RNA, internal transcribed spacer 2, and large subunit ribosomal RNA". The stretch from base 2 to 119 matches the Rfam family "5.8S ribosomal RNA", at positions 37 to 154 of the family's 154-position model. The record is from RNAcentral.
GUGAAGAACGCAGUGAAAUGCGAUACGUAGUGUGAAUUGCAGAAUUCAGUGAAUCAUCGAAUCUUUGAACGCACAUUGCACCUCUCGGUAUUCCGGGAGGUAUGCCUGUUCGAGCGUCAUUUGUACCCUCAAGCUCUGCUUGGUGUUGGGUGUUUGUUCCGCCUCUGUGUGUGAACUCGCCUCAAAACAAUUGGCAGCCGGCGUACUUGUUUCGGAGCGCAGCACAUUUUGCGAUCCAGAUCAACGUACAGCGGCAUCCAAGAAGCCUUAUUUAACGCUCUUGACCUCGGAUCAGGUAGGGAUACCCGCUGAACUUAAGCAUAUCAAUAAGCGGAGGA